This 288-nucleotide long non-coding RNA is filed under the name Lathyrus oleraceus (garden pea). Its description in RNAcentral is "Pisum sativum (pea) long non-coding RNA (PSAT_LNC011096)". The record is from RNAcentral. Lineage: Eukaryota; Viridiplantae; Streptophyta; Magnoliopsida; Fabales; Fabaceae.
UCACUCUCUGCUGAUAUAACUGACCAUGACACAUGGCAGUUGAUCUCUUCCUUCUUUCAGCCGGAUUCAGCAUCAGUCAACUUGGGACUUUGAGGGUGCUAUUUCUCUUUUGUUUUUUUCUUUCUUUUUCUUUCUUUUGAUUUACUGACCAUGACACAUGGCAGUUGAUCUCUUCCUUCUUUCAGCCGGAUUCAGCAUCAGUCAACUUGGGACUUUGAGGGUGCUAUUUCUCUUUUGUUUUUUUCUUUCUUUUUCUUUCUUUUGAUUUCUCUUGAUUUCUUUUGAUUU